Molecule: ribosomal RNA, 410 nt
Filed under: uncultured Dinobryon
Lineage: Eukaryota; Chrysophyceae; Chromulinales
Description: partial Eukaryotic large subunit ribosomal RNA
Source: RNAcentral
CAAAGUCACAUGAAUGAAAACAAAAUCGAAACAUGGAAAGUAAGAAAUGAUUCAUUUUGAGGAACAAUUUCUUCCUUUCUUAUCUCAGUUAUUCGAAUCUUACUCCAUGGAUUCCGUCUCAAAAGGUGGGAUAUUUGAAUCGAUAACUUGUUCACUCGGCUGAUUUAACAAUUGCUUCUUACGAUGCUUCUAAAUAAACCGGGAAAGUAAUAGAAAACAAUUGUAAAUCGACCGAGUUAACAAUCUUAUCAGUUUAAAAAUCCCUCCCUUGAGACAGAAUCAAUGAGAUUAUGUGGACUAAGUUUCAAUAAAAUGUAGAGAAAGUACCUCAUAAUCGUGCAACGGAACAAUUGGAGAUGGUAUCUUUCCAUUAGAAAUCCUUUAAAUCUAUUAGAAAGAAUCAAUAAAGA